This 85-nucleotide transfer RNA is filed under the name Felis catus (domestic cat). It matches the Rfam family "tRNA". Rfam says of the family: Transfer RNA (tRNA) molecules are approximately 80 nucleotides in length. Their secondary structure includes four short double-helical elements and three loops (D, anti-codon, and T loops). Further hydrogen bonds mediate the characteristic L-shaped molecular structure. tRNAs have two regions of fundamental functional importance: the anti-codon, which is responsible for specific mRNA codon recognition, and the 3' end, to which the tRNAs corresponding amino acid is attached (by aminoacyl-tRNA synthetases). tRNAs cope with the degeneracy of the genetic code in two manners: having more than one tRNA (with a specific anti-codon) for a particular amino acid; and 'wobble' base-pairing, i.e. permitting non-standard base-pairing at the 3rd anti-codon position. Lineage: Eukaryota; Metazoa; Chordata; Mammalia; Carnivora; Felidae. RNAcentral also lists the same sequence under 2 other names. The record is from Rfam by way of RNAcentral.
GCCUGGGUGGCUCAGUCAGUUAAGUGUCUGACUUUGGCUCAGGUCAUGAUCUUACCGUCUGUGGGUUCGAGCCCUGCGUCAGGCA